AUUGCGGUUCUAGGUGUCCUGUAGCUCAUCCAUAAUUAUAGUCACCGAUUCGCAUUUCAAAUCAACGUUCGACCAACUGUGACCACAUUUCAACGAAGUAUUUCUUUCUACGCUUUUGUUAUACAUUUAUACAUAGAUAUAUAUUAUUGUGAGUCAACUUCAUGAUGAAGAUGAACUGUUUCUGUGGAGGGAAAAACGCACAUUUGGUCGGAAAAUGUGAUGCUAUUGUGAAUCAAUUUAUUGAAUUCGUCGCCGAGUGAGAGAUCCGUGAAGGAGUGAGGGGUCCGUGAAACCGAAGAAGUCGUAACUUUUCGCGAUCAACCGAAUAAUUUAGUGGAAACAGGACAGAACGUAUAUAUUAUUUUCUCACUCUGAUGCAUGGCGAUUCUGUUGUAUUAUGAAAAGUAUAUUCUCGAAAAUUAUAUUAUAUCAAUAUGCUUUC
This is a long non-coding RNA of Megachile rotundata (alfalfa leafcutting bee), 442 nucleotides long. The record is from RefSeq and is a predicted model, not a curated record. NCBI's taxonomy places the organism in Eukaryota, Metazoa, Arthropoda, Insecta, Hymenoptera, Megachilidae.